RNAcentral lists this ribosomal RNA (771 nucleotides) under uncultured Neocallimastigales. RNAcentral's name for it is "partial large subunit ribosomal RNA". It matches the Rfam family "Eukaryotic large subunit ribosomal RNA", at positions 18 to 640 of the family's 3401-position model. The record is from RNAcentral. Lineage: Eukaryota; Fungi; Neocallimastigomycota; Neocallimastigomycetes; Neocallimastigales.
UCAGACGAUGCGUCAUGCAUAUCAAUAAGCGGAGGAAAAGAAACUAACAAGGAUUCCCUCAGUAACGGCGAGUGAAGCGGGAAGAGCUCAAAUUUGAAAUCUUGAAAGGUCACCUUUCACGAAUUGUAGUUUAAAGAAGUGUUUUCUGUUACGAUCGUAAUAUAAGUUCUUUGGAAUAGGACAUCACAGAGGGUGAGAAUCCCGUCUAUGAUUGCGAUUUGUAGCUUUGUGAUACACUUUCAAAGAGUCGGGUUGUUUGGGAAUGCAGCCCAAAACGGGAGGUAAAUUUCUUCUAAGGCUAAAUAUUGGCGAGAGACCGAUAGCGAACAAGUACCGUGAGGGAAAGAUGAAAAGAACUUUGAAAAGAGAGUUAAAUAGUACGUGAAAUUGUCAAAAGGGAAGCGUUUAACACCAGUGUUGUUUUCUGAAAACCAACCUCUGUUAGCUUUAUGCAUGUUUGUUUAGACCUAAUCAGCUAUCUUGCAUGUUCUAUUGUUUGCAGUGGUGCACUUUUCAGUUUACAGGUCAACAUCAGUUUUUUUUACCGUAAAAAAGUUAAAGAAAGGUAGCUCAUGGCUCCGGUCGUGAGUGUUAUAGUCUUUUUCCUAUGCGGUAGGAGAGACUGAGGUCUGCAGUGUAGGCUAUUUGGCUAGAUACUCAGGUGCUAUGUGAUACCAUUUCAUAAACAACUUGUUGAUUAUGUUUUGUCUAUUGCAUACUCGCUUGUACUAUCAUACCUACGCUUAGGAUGUUGAAGACUCUACAGAGAUA